This 72-nucleotide transfer RNA is filed under the name Methanomethylovorans sp. Its description in RNAcentral is "tRNA-Gly". It matches the Rfam family "tRNA". From Rfam's summary of the family: Transfer RNA (tRNA) molecules are approximately 80 nucleotides in length. Their secondary structure includes four short double-helical elements and three loops (D, anti-codon, and T loops). The record is from RNAcentral. Lineage: Archaea; Methanobacteriati; Methanobacteriota; Methanomicrobia; Methanosarcinales; Methanosarcinaceae.
GCGGCUGUGGUUUAGUGGUUAUGACCUGGGCUUCCCAAGCCUAGAACCCGGGUUCGAAUCCCGGUAGCCGCA